GGAAAGUCAAACGUGGACCUUGCCACGGAAGGCAAAAAAAAGAAAAGAAAAAAAAAGAGGAAACGCUGUGGUGAUUGGAGGCAUCAAGAAAAUGCCCUGUCCUGGCUUAGACGCACUGCUGAACUACUGCCUACUAAUUCACCACUGCAUUAAACCUUAACUGCCAUCAUCUACCUGGACUCAUCAGAACUUUACUGAGAAUGCAUGUCAUCAGCUCCCAGGAGCACAGUCUUCACAGGCACUGAGCUCAACACUGGCAGCACUGAUGAAACAUUUCUGUGCUGAUUCGACACAUAUGGAAACAUUUGGCUUUGAAAGCGUCAAAAAAAGGCCGUCUGUUAUUAAACGGCCUGUUCCUACAACAGGUACUAGA
This is a long non-coding RNA of Electrophorus electricus (electric eel), 373 nucleotides long. RefSeq lists it as uncharacterized. Lineage: Eukaryota; Metazoa; Chordata; Actinopteri; Gymnotiformes; Gymnotidae. The record is from RefSeq and is a predicted model, not a curated record.